CAAUAGCGUAUAUUAAAGUUGUUGCGGUUAAAAAGCUCGUAGUUGGAUUUCUGUCGAGGACGACCGGUCCGCCCUCCGGGUGAGUAUCUGGCUUGGCCUGGGCAUCUUCUUGGAGAACGUGUCUGCACUUGACUGUGUGGUGCGGUAUCCAGGACUUUUACUUUGAGGAAAUUAGAGUGUUUCAAGCAGGCAUGCGCCUUGAAUACAUUAGCAUGGAAUAAUAAGAUAGGACCUCGGUUCUAUUUUGUUGGUUUCUAGAGCUGAGGUAAUGAUUAAUAGGGAUAGUUGGGGGCAUUCGUAUUUAACUGUCAGAGGUGAAAUCCUUGGAUUUGUUAAAGACGGACUACUGCGAAAGCAUUUGCCAAGGAUGUUUUCAUUGA
RNAcentral lists this ribosomal RNA (380 nucleotides) under uncultured eukaryote. Its description in RNAcentral is "partial 18S ribosomal RNA". It matches the Rfam family "Eukaryotic small subunit ribosomal RNA", at positions 592 to 976 of the family's 1831-position model. The record is from RNAcentral.